UACGUCGGGGGCUAGCGUUGUCCGGAAUCAUUGGGCGUAAAGCGCGUGUAGGCGGUCCGGUAAGUCCGCUGUGAAAGUCGGGGGCUCAACCCUCGAAUGCCGGUGGAUACUGUCGGGCUAGAGUGCGGAAGAGGCGAGUGGAAUUCCUGGUGUAGCGGUGAAAUGCGCAGAUAUCAGGAGGAACACCAAUGGCGAAGGCAGCUCGCUGGGACGGUACUGACGCUGAGGAGCGAAAGCGUGGGGAGCGAACAGG
RNAcentral lists this ribosomal RNA (253 nucleotides) under uncultured bacterium. RNAcentral describes it as "partial 16S ribosomal RNA". It matches the Rfam family "Bacterial small subunit ribosomal RNA", at positions 524 to 776 of the family's 1533-position model. The record is from RNAcentral.